RNAcentral lists this long non-coding RNA (695 nucleotides) under Eptatretus burgeri (inshore hagfish). RNAcentral's name for it is "lncRNA (ENSEBUG00000017218.1)". The record is from RNAcentral. Lineage: Eukaryota; Metazoa; Chordata; Myxini; Myxiniformes; Myxinidae.
UUUAUCGCAUAAAUUAUUCACAGAUAAUUAUAUGUAGAAUUGCACUGCCCUCUCAGGAGGUGAACCGUCCCCUCGGCACUUUGUUCUCCAGGAUCUGAGAUGAUCGGGCUGUGGAAUCUGCUCCUGCUGUUUGGAUAUCAUUGCUUCAUGUCAUCCACCACAAAUGGGACACCAAAGGAGGACGAGCUUUGGGAAUGUGCAGAAAGACUGGAAGACAAUGACAGUGACAUCGAACAGCGACUGAAGACAUCCCGACCAAUGUUCUACGUGGGUAGCAGAAAUAUCGCAGUGAUGAGACCCUGGACAUUCGGUCUCUACCCGGACAAUGAAAACAUCCUCUCCGCACUACACUGGCUAGCCAAGGCUUCAAAAUGGACCGUGGCAGAGAUGCUCUUCGAUCCCACACUGGGGGUGUCGCUGCAGGACACGGAACCUUUCUUUUUGGACACGGAGAUGAACUUUUCUCUGCAUCGGAUACCCAUGUUAGACAAGGAAAAAUUAGAUACUUUGUAUUUGUCUGACAUUUUCAAGCUCAUCGCUGCACGCUACACAUACAACAUUAUCUUACAUUGUCAGAAGAGCCUUAUUUCACCCAUUCUCGAACAGGCACUUUAUCAUGGAUUGAUUGCAAGACCUUAUCAGUGGCUCAUUCCAAUGAAGGUAAAAUCAAUGAUUUCCUGUACUAUCUAAUAUAU